AUUGAACGCUGGCGGCAUGCCUUACACGUGCAAGUCGAACGGCAGCACGGGUGCUUGCACCUGGUGGCGAGUGGCGAACGGGUGAGUAGUACAUCGGAACGUACCUUAUCGUGGGGGAUAACGCAGCGAAAGCUGUGCUAAUACCGCAUACGCCCUGAGGGGGAAAGCGGGGGAUCGAAAGACCUCGCGCGAUUAGAGCGGCCGAUGCCUGAUUAGCUUGUUGGUGGGGGAAAAGCCCACCAAGGCGACGAUCAGUAGCUGGUCUGAGAGGACUAUCAGCCACACUGGGACUGAGACACGGCCCAGACUCCUACGGGAGGCAGCAGUGGGGAAUUUUGGACAAUGGGGGCAACCCUGAUCCAGCAAUGCCGCGUGAGUGAAGAAGGCCUUCGGGUUGUAAAGCUCUUUUGUCAGGGAAGAAACACCGGCUCUAACACAGUCCGGGAAUGACGGUACCUGAAGAAUAAGUACCGGCCAACUACGUGCCAGCCGCCGCCGUAA
This 501-nucleotide ribosomal RNA is filed under the name uncultured bacterium. RNAcentral's name for it is "partial 16S ribosomal RNA". It matches the Rfam family "Bacterial small subunit ribosomal RNA", at positions 29 to 523 of the family's 1533-position model. The record is from RNAcentral.